GAAAUAGGGCAUCAGCUAACGGAGGUCAGUAAGUAGCGGAGUAAUGAGGAUCUUUAUACUUAAUUUGGUUAGUGAAACAAUAACAUAUACACACACACACAGAAACACACUCGUACUUUCAGCAUAUGUAGAACGACUGAGAGCUGAUCAUUAACACGUUGGGUUUACUGUGAAAGGUCAGCUUUUUCGUAUGAAUGUCAGAGAGUGACUGAUUAUGUCACAGGAGUCACACGUUACCUUAUUCUGUACGUUCACCAGAAGGAAAACAAGCUGAAAAUACCUGUUUUCUUUGCUUUAUUGACAACGCUCAAAUAUAUCUGUGCAAUUCAACUUGUAACUUACUAGAACAAUUACCGUGAGUAAAUAUAUUGAGAUCCAAAAUAUCUGAUACCAUUUUGUAUGCUAUUGGAUAUGACGGACUAUGACAUUUAGCACAUGACACAAACAACGACUAAUCAGCACAGCAAACGAUUUGUUGCACUGAGUUGAUGAAACAGUGUUGGUUGGUCCACUACUGUUGAUUAUUAAGGUAUAUAAGUAAUGUAAUAUAAGAAGAAAAAAGAAAAGAAAAGAAAAAUCACAUCUUUGGAUGAAAUUGAAAUCUGACUUUUUCCAUCUAUUUUAGGGACCGGCCUUAAUUUGAGUGACAACGAGUCAUUACCUGGAAGCCACGACGGAGGGAGCAUAAACAACUCCCAAAUAGUUGAACUGAGACGAAUCCCCAUCGCCGACACACACCUCUAACCUGUCCCCCUCACACACUCCCAAGACCUCUACUCUUCACAAAAAUUACAACACAGUAUUUUUAUAUUAUGAAAUGGUUUUGCACUAAAACACUGUUUUUUUCAACUUUUCAUAUCGUUGUUUGAAUCUGUAUGAAUCUGUAUUUUUAUUUUAUUGUUUAUGUAUAUAUAUGAACCUAUACAUACAUGUUUUACUAAAUACUAAGUCCUCAAUGAAGUUGUUUUCCUGUAUGUAUAUUUGGAUUUUUUUUUUCCUAGAAGUAAAUGAGAUGUAGCCGAUCACUUGGCAGAACCACUGCGGGUGAGAAUGGACAUUGUGUAACAUUGUUAAUAAACGAUUUACCAUAUGUUUUACAUUAGCCUGGGAUGACUUAAUCUUUACUACUCAUAUGCUGUCAAUAAAGUCAGUCUAUCACCGGAGGGUGCCUCUCGCAGUUAUGUAAAGGAGUCACUGCGGGGUCAAGGGUCACGCCCUCAUGCAGCAUGCAUGGUUUGUGUUGAUGAUCAAUGACUCUACAGUGACGAGGUCUGGCAGCUCUGCAACAAAUCUCAAAAUAACAAAAAUGUAAGCAAUGCCGACCACAAUGUGCGGAAUAUUCAAGAUACCGCAAAAGUG
Molecule: long non-coding RNA, 1359 nt
Organism: Gasterosteus aculeatus aculeatus (three-spined stickleback)
Lineage: Eukaryota; Metazoa; Chordata; Actinopteri; Perciformes; Gasterosteidae
Source: Ensembl